Molecule: ribosomal RNA, 926 nt
Filed under: Xiphinema pachydermum
Lineage: Eukaryota; Metazoa; Nematoda; Enoplea; Dorylaimida; Longidoridae
Description: partial 28S ribosomal RNA
Source: RNAcentral
NUUCCUUUAUUACAUCUUCAAAAGGGGUGCUUACAUCCUCUUCUUCUAUCUAAAUUGCUACUUAAUUACUGUCUCCCCCCCAGCGUGAGAUUUUCUUCUAUUUCUUUUCUUUUAACUCAUAUAUCCUCCUUACUAUUCUCGCUAGUCCUGUACUUUAUUAUACCUCUUGUCUCUUCUCUUUCCCGGUGCCAAACAAGAAGUGAAUAGAUGAUGAAUACCAUCAAUACAUUGGACCAAUGCUUUCCUCUACUAACACUACUAUCCCGCUAUCCCCCAAGCCAGUCGUAUCUCAUACCUCUACCCGAUAUACAGUACGUGGGCAUUCCACCGCUGCUCUUACCAAAUCUCUCUAUCCUGUCUAACUGUUCUCAUGGUUCGACUCCAUACACAUGUCUGUGAACAUGCAAUCCCUACAUUCCUUCAUCCUGCUUACCCUAUCAUUACCAAUAUUCCUAAUUUCCUCUUUACUCUCCACGACUACUACUCUUAUUCUAACCAUGUGCACAUGUAUGACCAUCAAUCUACUCCUCUUAUAACACAAUAUACUGCUACACUCCUUCAUUACCCCCUUUUCUUUUCUAUUCCACCUUCCAAUCCAUCUAUAUUUUCAUUAAUUCUUAUUUUAAUCUCCAUUCUCUAUAUUCCUACUCUUCCUCCUCUUCAAUCGUAUCCAUAUCUCCUUAUAGAAUCCGACUCCUAUAGAUGUAACUACUCCCUAUAUAACCUUAGCAAAUGCACGCUCUUAUUACGUCAUUAUAUUCUCUUUAUUUCUCACUAUUCAUACACCCUCUUUCAACUUUACUUAUCCAAUAGCUUAUCCUCCCUCCCUCUCUCUUGACGCUUUCUUCCUUACCUGAUCCUCUUAUUUACUCUUUUAUUCCUUCACUUCACCCCCUCUUAUUUUAUUCCUCCCUUAUGUUUAUCCU